GUGGGGGCAAAGGCAGUGACGUAACAACUUCACUCUAGGUAUUGAAAGAGGAUGUGAGAAGCAUCCGGGGGCAAUAGUACAAAAGGGCGAAGCAACAGAAGAGAAAUAAUCUGGGAAGCACAGCAGCCUUGGGCAUGCAACAGUGUUUUCCAUUUUAUUAUUUAUUAUCCUGGAGUUAUGCAGGAUUUCUAUUUGCUAGGAGAGGUAUUAGUAAUAGGAAUUUCUUUGAGUGAUUUGGAGGUGAACAAAUCUUUUCUUUUCUGUGAGCUACAGUGGUUACUGCUCUGAAUUUUGAGUGACUGACCAACUACCGGCUUCUCAUCCAUCUACCUUUUGGAAGAAAUAAGGCUUUUAAAAAUCAACUUAUGGUCUAACAUCAGAGAUGAGCAAUUCAUGAUGCUUUUUCUUUUCUUUUUUUUUUUUUUCAGACAACUUCUUACUUUGUUGCCCAGGCUGAAGUGCAGUGAUGCGAUCACGGCUCACUGCAGCCUCGACCUCCCAGGCUCAAGCGAUCCUCCCACCUCAACAUCCCAAGUAGCUGGGACUCCAAACGCGUGCCACUAUGCCCGGCUAAGUUUUGUAUUUUUAGUAGAGAUGGAGUUUUGCCAUGUUGCCCCGGCUGGUCUCGGACUCCUGGGCUCAAGCAAUCUGCCUGCCUCUGUCUCCUGAAGUGUUGUGAUUACAGGCAUGAGCCACCGCACCUGGCCAAGAUGCUUUUUCUGUUUCUGAGAUACAAUGAACUAUAUCUUAAGAAUUCAUAAAGCCCUAAAAAGUAAAUAUUUACAACCAGAAAUCUUUCUGACAAAGAAACAAGAUUACUCAAACACAACUGAAAGGAUGAAGAAGGAAAACAAUUUAAUGUACCCUGGUCAUGCAGUUACUUUCCUUUAUCCUUACUAACAGUGCUUGUCAAGAUGGUUCUGGAAACUGAAUAAAUUGUUAUUAACUAAAUUCUAAAAGCUUCAUAUAAUCAUCUGAUACAUACAUCACAUCAAUUUCAGCCUAGGCUCUCUAUGGUGGCAAAUUAUUUCAGCACUAAAUCAUGAAGGCUGGAUUCUUGAAGCCUGGCAGAGGCAAAUGUCUCAUUAAUGCUGAUCUGAGAGACAUCUGUGAUGAGCCUGAACAUCAGGCCAAUCUGCAGAGCUGAUCAGGGGCUGCUGAGUGGUUCUGAAGUGAGUCAGGCUGUGAAUGAAGACUCCACCAGAAUGAGGAGAAUUCCAUGCAUGGAGAUUCAAAUAAAGACAAAAGGGAGAUGCAACUAUGGAGGCUGAGAAGUCCCACCAUCGGAGCGCCUCUGCCCCGCCGCCCCAUCUGGGAUGUGAGGAGCGCCUCUGCCCGGCCGAGACCCCGUCUGGGAGGUGAGGAGCGUCUCUGCCCGGCCGCCCCGUCUGAGAAGUGAGGAGACCCUCUGCCUGGCAACCACCCCGUCUGAGAAGUGAGGAGCCCCUCCGCCCGGCAGCUGCCCCGUCUGAGAAGUGAGGAGCCUCUCCGCCCGGCAGCCACCCCAUCUGGGAAGUGAGGAGCGUCUCCGCCCGGCAGCCACCCCGUCCGGGAGGGAGGUGGGGGGGGGUCAGCCCCCCGCCCGGCCAGCCGCCCCAUCCGGGAGGGAGGUGGGGGGUCAGCCCCCCCGCCCGGCCAGCCGUGCCAUCCGGGAGGGAGGUGGGGGGGUCAGCCCCCCGCCUGGCCAGCCGUGCCGUCCGGGAGGGAGGUGGGGGGGUCAGCCCCCCGUCCGGCCAGCCGCCCCGUCCGGGAGGUGAGGGGCGCCUCUGCCCGGCCGCCCCUACUGGGAAGUGAGGAGCCCCUCAGCCCGGCCAGCCACCCCGUCCGGGAGGGAGAUGGGGGGGUCAGCCCCCCCACCCGGCCAGCCGCCCCGUCCGGGAGGGAGGUAGGGGGGUCAGCCCCCCGCCUGGCCAGCCGCCCCGUCCGGGAGGGAGGUGGGGGGGUCAGCCCUCCGCCCGGCCAGCCGCCCCGUCUGGGAGGUGAGGGGCGCCUCUGCCCAGCCGCCCCUACUGGGAAGUGAGG
This 2022-nucleotide long non-coding RNA is filed under the name Homo sapiens (human). Its description in RNAcentral is "HSALNT0210305". The record is from RNAcentral. Lineage: Eukaryota; Metazoa; Chordata; Mammalia; Primates; Hominidae.